Molecule: small nucleolar RNA, 107 nt
Organism: Brassica oleracea var. oleracea
Lineage: Eukaryota; Viridiplantae; Streptophyta; Magnoliopsida; Brassicales; Brassicaceae
Rfam family: Plant small nucleolar RNA R71
About the family: R71 is a member of the C/D box family of snoRNAs containing the C (UGAUGA) and D (CUGA) box motifs. Multiple nearly identical copies of this snoRNA have been identified in Arabidopsis, and it is thought to function as a 2'-O-ribose methylation guide for 18S ribosomal RNA.
Source: Rfam
AAUCCAUGGUGAGGGCAUUCUCUGCAGUAGUCAUUAUAACGCUCCCAUGCGUCGCAAAAAAGCUCAUUAGUGAGCUGUCUGAAAGAGGUGAUCAUGUUCCUCAAUGC